AGUGUAACUGUUGGAUUAAAUAGUCAGAAUAAGCUUAGUUUUGUAAGAAAUUGCCAAACUGUCUUGCAAACUGGCUGUGCCAGUGUGCAUUCCUACCAGCAGU
RNAcentral lists this microRNA precursor (103 nucleotides) under Marmota monax (woodchuck). Lineage: Eukaryota; Metazoa; Chordata; Mammalia; Rodentia; Sciuridae. The record is from RNAcentral.